GCCAGCUUGGAGUAGUGGCUUGAGUAUUAGAUUAAGACUCUGGGGACCAAGGUUCGAAUCCUAGCUUGGCC
Non-coding RNA from Phrynosoma platyrhinos (Desert horned lizard), 71 nucleotides. Lineage: Eukaryota; Metazoa; Chordata; Lepidosauria; Squamata; Phrynosomatidae. The record is from the annotation of a GenBank genome assembly.